Molecule: long non-coding RNA, 124 nt
Organism: Telopea speciosissima
Lineage: Eukaryota; Viridiplantae; Streptophyta; Magnoliopsida; Proteales; Proteaceae
Exons: 3
Source: RefSeq, a predicted model, not a curated record
GGAGGAACCUUUCAAUCCCACUCACAACAAAUAUCAUCAAACCAAGUGAUGAGAUUGUGAUAAAAAAAUGAGGGAAUGCCCAUCUCAAAAGAACCUGGGAAGAAAAGGAGAUUUUAAGAUUAAA